RNAcentral lists this ribosomal RNA (751 nucleotides) under Cumulibacter manganitolerans. RNAcentral's name for it is "bacterial SSU rRNA". It matches the Rfam family "Bacterial small subunit ribosomal RNA", at positions 89 to 851 of the family's 1533-position model. Lineage: Bacteria; Bacillati; Actinomycetota; Actinomycetes; Geodermatophilales; Geodermatophilaceae. The record is from RNAcentral.
GACUUAGCGGCGAACGGGUGAGUAACACGUGGGCAACCUGCCCUUAGCUCUGGGAUAAGCGAUGGAAACGUCGUCUAAUACUGGAUAUGACAUGCGGAGGCAUCUUCUGUGUGUGGAAAGAUUUAUCGGCUAGGGAUGGGCCCGCGGCCUAUCAGCUUGUUGGUGGGGUAAUGGCCUACCAAGGCGGCGACGGGUAACCGGCCUGAGAGGGCGACCGGUCACACUGGGACUGAGACACGGCCCAGACUCCUACGGGAGGCAGCAGUGGGGAAUAUUGCACAAUGGGCGCAAGCCUGAUGCAGCGACGCCGCGUGAGGGAUGACGGCCUUCGGGUUGUAAACCUCUUUCAGCAGGGACGAAGCGAGAGUGACGGUACCUGCAGAAGAAGCGCCGGCCAACUACGUGCCAGCAGCCGCGGUAAUACGUAGGGCGCAAGCGUUGUCCGGAAUUAUUGGGCGUAAAGAGCUCGUAGGCGGUUUAUCACGUCGGCUGUGAAAUCCCGAGGCUUAACCUCGGGCUUGCAGUCGAUACGGGUUGACUAGAGUGAAGCAGGGGAGACUGGAAUUCCUGGUGUAGCGGUGAAAUGCGCAGAUAUCAGGAGGAACACCGGUGGCGAAGGCGGGUCUCUGGGCUUUAACUGACGCUGAGGAGCGAAAGCGUGGGUAGCGAACAGGAUUAGAUACCCUGGUAGUCCACGCCGUAAACGGUGGGCGCUAGGUGUGGGGACCAUUCCACGGUUUCCGUGCCGCAG